Vicia faba (fava bean) is the source of this 228-nucleotide non-coding RNA. Lineage: Eukaryota; Viridiplantae; Streptophyta; Magnoliopsida; Fabales; Fabaceae. The record is from the annotation of a GenBank genome assembly.
AUGAACAAGAUAAAGUUUGGAUUAGAGAGAAAUACAGAGGGAACGAGUGAGAUAAUCGAGAGAGCGAGCAGGGGGAGUAUUGUUGUUACCUUCCUUUUGCGUAUGAAGAUGAUGAAAGAGAGGACAUUUUUUCUUCUUUGUUUAGCGAUCGAGAGAAGCGUGAAAGAGCAGAGAGAAAACGUGAUUUGUUGUGGUUUUCUUUUCAAUUCUUAUUUACAUCAAUUUUAA